GUUGCAAAUUCGCCAAAUUAUUUUUCUGAAUCAAUUUUGGUUUUGUCUUUUCUGUACACUUUAGGCUAUUUAUCUUUUUUUUUUUUUUUUUUUUUUUUUUUUUUUUUUUUUUUUUUUUUUUUUUUUUUUUUUUUUUUUUUUGGUAGUACAUGUUUGCAGAACUGUGGGAGAAUUUCAACCCUGGCUAGGCCAGGUGCACUGCACUCCUGUCUCCUGAGCUAACUCAGAGACCUUGCUAAAGGCUGAGCUAACUCACCUAAGUACAUAGAUGCUGAGUUCAACAGGCUACACCUCUGCCCCUAGUCCACAACUCCUUCACCUCGCCCAAUAAAAAUCACUCCACCACGUCUCCAAUAAAAUAUCGCCAAAUGUUAAAUGCUCCUCCCAUGCUCCUCCCCCAUGGUUGUCCCUAUAUAAACCUGUGCAUUUCCUGAAUAAAGCAGAAGACUUCCAGAAACCUCCCCGGAGUCUGCCUGGUGGUUCCUCGCCUUACCCUACCAGUCCAAGCUCCCAAACCGAACUCCACAGACCAAGCAGCAGACAGCAACAGCUGGUGCCCAAAUGUAGGGCUUGCGUAUGCUGGGUAAAUAUUGAAGCCGCGGUGUGAUCUCUCAGACGUGUUUCAGCCAUUUUUCCACCCACAAUGCUGUAAUGCCAUCUGCCAUAAGGAUUUCAGGAAAACAAAACAGAUCCUGCCACCAUGCCCUUGCAUAUCUAGAACUAUGAGCUAAAUAAACAUCUGUUCUUUACAAAAUUUCCCAGUUAUAAAUAUUUUGUUAUAAUAAAAAAAGAUUAUAUAGUGGGUUUAUCACUUUUAUCAAAUUUUGAA
This 829-nucleotide long non-coding RNA is filed under the name Fukomys damarensis (Damara mole-rat). RNAcentral's name for it is "lncRNA (ENSFDAG00000027100.1)". Lineage: Eukaryota; Metazoa; Chordata; Mammalia; Rodentia; Bathyergidae. The record is from RNAcentral.